CCUACGGGUGGCAGCAGUGAGGAAUAUUGGUCAAUGGCCGAGAGGCUGAACCAGCCAAGUCGCGUGAGGGAAGACGGCCCUCCGGGUUGUAAACCUCUUUUGUCGGGGAGUAAAGCGAACCACGUGUGGUUCAUUGCGAGUACCCGAAGACAAAGCAUCGGCUAACUCCGUGCCAGCAGCCGCGGUAAUACGGGGGAUGCGAGCGUUAUCCGGAUUUAUUGGGUUUAAAGGGUGCGCAGGCGGAUGUUCAAGUCAGCGGUCAAAUUACGGGGCUCAACCCCGUACUGCCGUUGAAACUGCAUCCCUUGAGUGCGCGAGAAGUAUGCGGAAUGCGUGGUGUAGCGGUGAAAUGCAUAGAUAGCACGCAGAACUCCGAUUGCGAAGGCAGCAUACCGGCGCACAACUGACGCUGAUGCACGAAAGCGUGGGGAUCGAACAGGAUUAGAUACCCUAGUAGUC
This 459-nucleotide ribosomal RNA is filed under the name uncultured bacterium. RNAcentral describes it as "partial 16S ribosomal RNA". It matches the Rfam family "Bacterial small subunit ribosomal RNA", at positions 338 to 795 of the family's 1533-position model. The record is from RNAcentral.